RNAcentral lists this ribosomal RNA (253 nucleotides) under uncultured bacterium. RNAcentral describes it as "partial 16S ribosomal RNA". It matches the Rfam family "Bacterial small subunit ribosomal RNA", at positions 524 to 776 of the family's 1533-position model. The record is from RNAcentral.
UACAGAGGUCUCAAGCGUUGUUCGGAUUCAUUGGGCGUAAAGGGUGCGUAGGUGGCGCUGUAAGUCGGGUGUGAAAUUUCGGAGCUUAACUCCGAAACUGCAUUCGAUACUGCGGUGCUUGAGGACUGGAGAGGAGACUGGAAUUCAUGGUGUAGCAGUGAAAUGCGUAGAGAUCAUGAGGAAGACCAGUGGCGAAGGCGGGUCUCUGGACAGUUCCUGACACUGAGGCACGAAGACCAGGGGAGCAAACGGG